RNAcentral lists this ribosomal RNA (120 nucleotides) under Karlodinium veneficum. RNAcentral describes it as "partial Microsporidia small subunit ribosomal RNA". The record is from RNAcentral. Lineage: Eukaryota; Dinophyceae; Gymnodiniales; Kareniaceae.
AGAAGAUGCAAAACGCCAAAACCGUGCAGUCGGAGGUAUUGUCGCUUCGUCAGCUGCAGUUCAGUUAGACAUAGAUUUAAGCAAUGCAGAAGCUGUACAUAGUCGGGCGAUGCUUGCGAU